RNAcentral lists this ribosomal RNA (428 nucleotides) under uncultured bacterium. RNAcentral describes it as "bacterial SSU rRNA". It matches the Rfam family "Bacterial small subunit ribosomal RNA", at positions 356 to 775 of the family's 1533-position model. The record is from RNAcentral.
GGGGAAUAUUGGGCAAUGGGCGAAAGCCUGACCCAGCGACGCCGCGUGGGUGAUGAAGGCCUUCGGGUUGUAAAACCCUUUCGUGCGGAAAGAAUAGUCCUGUAGCGAAUAACUACGGGAUUUGACGGUACCGCAGGAAGAAGCACCGGCUAACUCCGUGCCAGCAGCCGCGGUAAUACGGAGGGUGCAAGCGUUGUUCAGAAUUAUUGGGCGUAAAGGGCGCGUAGGUGGUUGUGAUAGUCAGAUGUGAAAUCCUUCGGCUCAACCGAAGAACUGCAUCUGAAACUUCAUAGCUCGAGUACAGGAGAGGGAAACGGAAUUCCCGGUGUAGAGGUGAAAUUAGUAGAUAUCGGGAGGAACACCAGUGGCGAAGGCGGUUUCCUGGCCUGAUACUGACGCUGAGGCGCGAAAGCGUGGGGAGCAAACAG